RNAcentral lists this ribosomal RNA (253 nucleotides) under uncultured bacterium. RNAcentral describes it as "partial 16S ribosomal RNA". It matches the Rfam family "Bacterial small subunit ribosomal RNA", at positions 524 to 776 of the family's 1533-position model. The record is from RNAcentral.
UACAGAGGUCUCAAGCGUUGUUCGGAUUCAUUGGGCGUAAAGGGUGCGUAGGCGGCGCGGUAAGUCGGGUGUGAAAUCUCGGAGCUUAACUCCGAAACUGCAUUCGAUACUGCCGUGCUUGAGGACUGGAGAGGAGACUGGAAUUUACGGUGUAGCAGUGAAAUGCGUAGAGAUCGUAAGGAAGACCAGUGGCGAAGGCGAGUCUCUGGACAGUUCCUGACGCUGAGGCACGAAGGUCAGGGGAGCAAACGGG